This is a long non-coding RNA of Taeniopygia guttata (zebra finch), 3785 nucleotides long. The record is from Ensembl. NCBI's taxonomy places the organism in Eukaryota, Metazoa, Chordata, Aves, Passeriformes, Estrildidae.
AUGCGAAAUAAAAUAGAUUGUGGCGAUGGUAAUUGGGGUUUGGGGUUACUGGUUUGUACUGGUUUGUACUGGGAGGGGACUGGGAGGGGUUUAAACACGCCUAGCUCAUUAAUAUGCAAAUUUAUGCUGAUGAGAGGUGGGAAUAAAUGUAAAUAUGCAGACAGAGAUGGGGUUACUGGUUUGUACUGGGAGGGAACUGGGAGGGGUUUACACACACCUAGCUCAUUAAUAUGCAAAUAUAUGCUAAUGAGAGGUGGAAACCUAUUUGAAUACACCUCCACCCCACCUCUGACCACACCCACCUUUAACAUGCAAAUUCAUGCAAAUCACACACUUUUAUUUUUUGUGAAUAUUUUUUUAUUAUUAUUUUUCUCAUUCCGGAGCCAAAACCCCCCAAAAAAAACCCCCAAAAAAACCCCAAAAAAACCCCAAAAAAAAACCCCAAAAAAAUUCCCAUUUCCGGGUUGGGGGCGGGGCCAACACCGAGGCCACGCCCCCUUUUCCCGCCAGCCAAUAGGAGGGGAGGGGGCGUGGCCAAGGGGAAAGGGGCGGGGUCAGAGCCGAGGCCACGCCCCCUUUUCCCGCCAGCCAAUAGGAGGGGAGGGGGCGUGGCCAAAGGGGGGAAAGGGGCGGGGCCACAGACAAAGCCACGCCCCCUUUUCCCGCCAGCCAAUAGGAGGGGAGGGGGCGUGGCCAAAGGGGAAAAGGGGCGGAGCCGAUCUCACCUGGAAAGAAAAGGGGGCGGAGUUAAAGGGGAACUGGUUUAUACUGGUUUAUACUGGUUUAUACUGGUUUGGGGUUUUUUCUUACUGGUUUGUACUGGGAAUGGGUUUGGGGUUACUGGUUUGUACUGGGAAUGGGUUUGGGGUUACUGGUUUGUACUGGGAAUGGGUUUGGGGUUACUGGUUUGUACUGGGAAUGGGUUUGGGGUUACUGGUUUGUACUGGGAGGGGGUUUGGGGUUACUGGUUUGUACUGGGAAUGGGUUUGGGGUUACUGGUUUGUACUGGGAAUGGGUUUGCGGUUACUGGUUUGUACUGGGAAUGGGUUUGGGGUCACUGGUUUAUACUGGGAAUGGGUUUGGGGUUACUGGUUUAUACUGGGAGGGGGUUUGGGGUUACUGGGAUGAACUGGGAAUGACUUUUCCCUUACUGGUUUAUACUGGUUUUGGCUUUUCCCUUACUGGUUUUGGCUCUGGGCUGACCGGUUUGAACCGGUUUGAACUGGGAUGAACUGGGAGGGGGUCGGGGAAGGUGUUAAGGGGUCCGAACCGGUCCGAACUGGUUUAUACUGGUUUAUACUGGUUUAUACUGGGAGGGGCUCACAUGGUCUGGGACGAGAAGAGCCCCGAGAGCGUCAAACACUGAGAGGCCAAAUUCAGCGCCGGGCUCAGGGCUGGGGGGGGAAAUUUGGGGGUCAGGGGGGUCCCCGAAAUUCCCAAAAUCCCAAAUUCCCAAAAUUCCCAAAAUUCCCGAAAUUAUCCCCAAAAAUUUCCCGAAAUUCCCGCAAAAAACGACCCAAAAAUGACCCAAAAUCACCCAAAAAUGACACAAAAUGACCCAAAAUCAGCCCAAGUUUGGGGUCGGGGGACCCCAAAAUUUGGAAAUCCCAAAAUUCCCAAAAUUCCCAAAAUUCCCGAAAUUAUCCCCAAAAAUUUCCCGAAAUUCCCGCCAAAAACGCCCCAAAAUUGACCCAAAAUUGACCCAAAAUCAACCAAAAUAAUCCAAAUUUGCCCAAAUUGGCCCAAAAAUCAGCCCAAGUUUGGGGUCAGGGGGGUCCCCGAAAUUCGGGAAUCCCAAAAUUCCCAAAAUUCCCAAAAUUCCCGAAAUUAUCCCCAAAAAUUUCCCGAAAUUCCCGCAAAAAACGCCCCAAAAAUUGACCAAAAUGGCCCCGAAAUGACCCCAAAUCAGCCCAAGUUCGGGGUGGGGGAGGGGAAAUUUGGGGUUGGGGGGGCCCAAAUUUGGGAAUCCCCAAAUUCCCAAAAUUCCCAAAAUUCCCGAAAUUAUCCCCAAAAAUUUCCCGAAAUUCCCGCAAAAAACGACCCAAAAAUGACCCAAAAUCGCGAAAAAUUGACCCAAAUUUGCCCAAAAUCAGCCCAAGUUUGGGGUGGGGGAGGGGAAAUUUGGGGUUGGGGGGAGGCCAAAAUUUGUGAAUCCCCAAAUUCCCAAAAUUCCCAAAAUUCCCGAAAUUAUCCCCAAAAAUUUCCCGAAAUUCCCACCAAAAAACGCCCCAAAAUUGACCAAAAACGCCCAAAAUGGCCCCGAAAUGACCCAAAAUCAGCCCAAGUUUGGGAUGGGGGAGGGGAAAUUUGGGGUUGAGGGUGGCCCAAAAUUUGGGAAUUCCCAAAAUUCCCAAAAUUCCCAAAAUUCCCGAAAUUAUCCCCAAAAAUUUCCCGAAAUUCCCGCAAAAAACACCCCAAAAAUGACCCAAAAUGACACAAAUUUGCCCAAAAUCAACCCAAGUUUGGGGUGGGGGAGGGGAAAUUUGGGGUUGGGGGGGCCCAAAAUUUGGGAAUUCCCAAAAUUCCCAAAAUUCCCAAAAUUCCCGAAAUUAUCCCCAAAAUUCCCGCGGAAAACGCCCCAAAAUUGACCCAAAAUGACCCAAAUUAGCCCAAAAUCAGCCUCAAUUUGGAGUGGGGGAGGGGAAAUUUGGGGUUGGGGGGGACCCAAAAUUUGGGAAUCCCAAAAUUCCCAAAAUUCCCGAAAUUCCCGAAAUUAUCCCCAAAAAUUUCCCGAAAUUCCCGCAAAAACGCCCCAAAAUUGACCCAAAAUGGCCCCGAAAUGACCCAAAAUCAGCCCAAGUUGGGGUGGGGGAGGAGAAAUUUGGGGUCAGGGGGGGGCCCAAAUUUGGGAAUCCCCAAAUUCCCAAAAUUCCCAAAAUUCCCGAAAUUAUCCCCAAAAAUUUCCCGAAAUUCCCGCAAAAAACGGCCCAAAAUUGACCCAAAAUCACUAAAAAUUGACCCAAAUUUGCCCCAAAUGGCCCCAAAAUCAGCCCAAGUUUGGGGUCGGGGGGUCCCAAAAUUUGUGAAUCCCAAAAUUCCCAAAAUUCCCAAAAUUCCCGAAAUUAUCCCCAAAAAUUUCCCGAAAUUCCCGCAAAAAACGCCCCAAAAAUGACCCAAAAUGGCCCCGAAAUGACCCAAAAUCAGCCCAAGUUUGGGGUGGGGGAGGGGAAAUUUGGGGUUGGGGGGGGCCAAAAUUUGGGAAUCCCAAAAUUCCCAAAAUUCCCGAAAUUAUCCCCAAAAAUUUCCAAAAUUCCCACAAAAAACGCCCCAAAAAUGACCCAAAAUGACCCAAAUUUGCCCAAAAUGGCCCCAAAAUGACCCAAAAUCAGCCCAAAUUUGGAGUGGGGGAGGGGAAAUUUGGGGUUGGGGGGGGCCAAAAUUCGGGAAUUCCAAAAUUCCCAAAAUUCCCAAAAUUAUCCCCAAAAAUUUCCCGAAAUUCCCACAAAAAACGCCCCAAAAAUGACCCAAAAUGGCCCAAAAUGGCCCCAAAUUUGGGAUCGGGGGGGCCCCAAAUUCGGAUAUCCCCAAAUUCCCAAAAUUCCCAAAAUUAUCUCCAAAUUUCCCCCCAAAUCCCCAAUUUUUGGCUUCCCCCACUCCAAAUUUUUGGGGUCCCCCCAAAUUUUUGGGUUCCCACCCCAAACCCCCCAAAUUUUUGGGGUCCCACCCCAAAAUAUCCAAUUUUUCGACUUCUGCCCCUCCAAAAACCCCAAAAUUUUUGGGCUCCCCCACCCCAAACCCCCAAAAUUUUGGGGUCCCCCCAAAUUUUUGUCUCCCCCCACCCCAAA